This 1454-nucleotide ribosomal RNA is filed under the name metagenome. Its description in RNAcentral is "bacterial SSU rRNA". It matches the Rfam family "Bacterial small subunit ribosomal RNA". The record is from RNAcentral.
AGAGUUUGAUUCUGGCUCAGAACGAACGCUGGCGGCAGGCCUGAGGCAUGCAAGUCGAACGAGAAAGCAUUUUCGGAUGCGAGUAGAGUGGCGCACGGGUGAGUAACGCGUGGGAAUAUACCUUACAGUGGGGGAUAACAGUUAGAAAUGACUGCUAAUACCGCAUAAGCCCUUCGGGGGAAAGAUUUAUCGCUGUAAGAUUAGCCCGCGUCAGAUUAGCUUGUUGGUGAGGUAAAAGCUCACCAAGGCAAUGAUCUGUAGCUGGUUUGAGAGGAUGAUCAGCCACACUGGAACUGAGACACGGUCCAGACUCCUACGGGAGGCAGCAGCUAGGAAUAUUGGACAAUGGGGGAAACCCUGAUCCAGCCAUGUCGCGUGAGUGAAGAAGGCCUUUGGGUUGUAAAGCUCUUUCAAUAGUGAAGAUGAUGACUGUAACUAUAGAAGAAGCCCCGGCUAACUUCGUGCCAGCAGCCGCGGUGAUACGAAGGGGGCUAGCGUUGUUCGGAUUUACUGGGCGUAAAGCGCAUGUAGGCUGUUUAUUAAGUUAGAGGUGAAAUCCCAGGGCUCAACCCUGGAACUGCCUUUGAUACUGGUAAACUAGAGUAUGAUAGAGGAUAGUGGAAUUCUAAGUGUAGAGGUGGAAUUCGUAGAUAUUUAGAGGAACACCAGUGGCGAAAGCGGCUAUCUGGAUCAUUACUGACGCUGAGAUGCGAAAGUGUGGGGAGCAAACAGGAUUAGAUAUCCUGGUAGUCCACACUGUAAACGAUGAGUGUUAAUUGUUGGGAACUUUGGUUCUCAGUGAUACAGCUAACGCGUUAAACACUCCGCCUGGGGAGUACGGUCGCAAGAUUAAAACUUAAAGAAAUUGACGGGGACCCGCACAAGCGGUGGAGCAUGUUGUUUAAUUCGAAGAUACGCGAAGAACCUUACCGAUCCUUGACUUCCUAAUCGCAAAAUUUGUAAUAAAUUUUUUCAGCUCGGCUGGAUUAGUGACAGAUGCUGCAUGGUUGUCGUCAGCUCGUGUCGUGAGAUGCUGGGUUAAGUCCCGCAACGAGCGCAACCCUCGCCAUUAGUUGCCAUCAGGUAAUGCUGGGAACUCUAAUGGAACUGCCGGUGAUAAGCCGGAGGAAGGUGGGGAUGACGUCAAAUCAUCAUGGUUCUUAUGGAUCGGGCUACAAACGUGCUACAAUGGCAAUUACAAUGAGCAGCAAUCUCGCAAGGGUGAGCUAAUCUCAAAAAAUUGUCUCAGUUCAGAUUGUCCUCUGCAACUCGAGGGCAUGAAGUUGGAAUCGCUAGUAAUCGCAGGUCAGCAUACUGCGGUGAAUACGUUCCCGGGUCUUGUACACACCGCCUGUCAUGUCAUGGGAGUUGGUUUUACCUGAAGGCGUUACCUUAACUUUUGAGGGGGACGACCACGGUAGGACUAAUGACUGGGAUAAAGUCAUAACAAGGUA